Long non-coding RNA from Gossypium raimondii (Peruvian cotton), 2475 nucleotides. RefSeq lists it as uncharacterized. NCBI's taxonomy places the organism in Eukaryota, Viridiplantae, Streptophyta, Magnoliopsida, Malvales, Malvaceae. The transcript is spliced from 4 exons. The record is from RefSeq and is a predicted model, not a curated record.
UCUAAUUUCACUUUCACUUUGGUGCAUUCCUCCUCUUAUUCCCAAUUCCAGAAUCAAAAUCCCUAACUCACCACCACCUCUACCCAUCCAUCAGUGUUGUCUGUCAGCGUUGCUCACCAGUCACCAGUCACCACAUUCAUCUCCACCUCCCACCUGCUUCCUCUGUCGCCGGCGCCCACCUGAUUUCCUCAACUAACUCAGGACUUCAGUUUUUAUGGCUAGUUCGAACACUCCUAUAUCUGUAGAUGAUGGGUUUAAUGAGUAUGAAAGACCUCUCAAACGUCAAAAGUCUACCACUUCAAAAGUGUGGGAUGAAAUGACAAAGCUUGAAUGCAAAGAACAAAAAUGAAUUGAAGGCACAAUGUAAUCACUGUAAGAGUAUCUUUUCUGCUAAAUCUUCUAGUGGAACCUCUCAUUUAAGACGUCAUCUAAAUCAUUGUUUGAAAAUAAGUUAAUAAUGACAUCACUCAAUACACCAUAGCCGCUCAAUCAUCAUUAGGAGGUGGUCCAUCUAUAAAAAAACUACAAGUUUGAUGCUGAUGAGUGCCGUCGAGCUGUUUUUACUUUUCUUGUGUGUGGCAAGCAUUCAUUUAGGAUAGUUGAAGAAUCGAAAUUUAGAUACAUGAUGAAAAUCGCUAGUUCUAAUUUUAAGAAUAUAAGUAGACAUACAGUUGCUAGGGAUGUCCUAAUGUAUUAUGCAAAAUAUAGAGAUCAUGUUAAAGAAGAGUUGGCUAAAGCACCUGGUUUAAUUUGUCUAAUUUCUAAUAAUUGGAACUCGAAGCAUACUAAUGAUGAAUAUAUUUGCAUUACUACUCAUUGGAUUUACAAAGACUGGAAGCUACAAAGAGAAUCAUAAGGUUUAGAGCUUUAUUUCCUCCGUAUGAUGGUUUGCACAUAGUGGAUGAACUUGUUUUAUGUUUAUCUCAAUAGGGUAUAGACAAGAAAAUUUUUAGCAUCACUUUGGAUAAUGCUUCUUAUAAUGAUGUUAUGGUUUUUUGUCUUAAAAAUCAUUUUCGUGCAAACCAAGCUAUUUUGUGUGAUGGUGAUUUUUUUUCACGUUAGAUAUUGAAUAUUAUAAUUAAAGCUGGUUUGGAACUUGCUGAUGAUGUUGUUGGUAAUAUUCAAAAUUGAAUUAAGUACAUAAAAAAGUCGAGAAUUCGUAGGAAAAGAUUUUAUUAUGUGGCCGACAAAAGUUUUCAUUUGAAUGUGACCAAAAAUUUGCAUCAAGAUGUGUGUGUGUGAUGGAAUUCUACUUAUUUGAUGCUUGAAUCUUCUCUUUAUUAUAAAUAUGUGCUAGAUUAUUGGGGCCAACGGGAUAAAGAUUAUCAAAUGUUUGCACUUUCUAAUGAGGAGUGGAGAAAUGUUGCUAUUCUUUGCAAAUUUUUGAAAGUCUUUUAUGAUGUGACUUGUGUUUUCUCUGGUUCUAAUUAUCCAACGGCUAAUCUUUAUUUUAGAGGGGUUUGGAAGGUUUACAAGGUAUUGCUUGAUACCGUUAAAGGUCCUUAUUCUUUUUUAACUCCAAUGUUUAAGCAAAUGCAAGAGAAAUUUAAUAAAUAUUGGGCUGAGUAUUUGUUGAUAUUGUCAUGUGCUGUAAUUUUAGAUCCUCGUUACAAGUUGAAUUAUGUGCAGUAUUACUAUACUACAAUCUAUGGUAUUCAUUCUUCGGAUUUUGUUGAAAUCAUUCUUAACAAUCUUAGACUCUUGUUUGAUGAGUAUGUUAAGAAAUCCAAUUCACGUCUUCCUCUUUGGCUGGGAGUUCUAAUGUUUCGGAUAAAGAUCCUAUUGAUUCUAGUUUGCAUCAACACAAUGUUAAUAGUGUUGAUUUUGGGGAGGUUUUGAUGAAAGUGAUGAUUAUAAAUGGUAUUGAAAUGAAUCUAGUACUAAUAGUGAAAAGUCACAGUUGGACAUUUAUUUGGAAGAACCGGAGCUUGAGUUGAAUAGUCAAAUAGAUGUUUUGGAUUAUUGGAGCAAAAGUUCAGUUCAAUAUAAUGAGCUUUCAUUAUUGACUUGUGAUCUUUUGGCAAUUCUAAUAUCGACUGUAGCUUCAAAAUCGGCUUUUAACAUGGGUAAGAAAGUUAUCACACCUUUGAGGAGUUCACUUAAGCUAAAAACGGUUCAAGCCGUUGUUUGCUUUGAUGAUUGGAUACGAGCUAAGGGAUUUUCAACGGAAAUUGGUUGCAAGAAUGAUGAUGACGAUGAAGAUGGUGAGGAUGAUGUUUCUUAGGUUUUUGGUGCUGUUUUGUUGUUGUUGGUGAUGCUGUUUUUUGUGCUGUUUGGUGCUGUUUUGAUGCUGUUUUGGUGUUGUUUUGUGCUACUUUUUGUGGUGUUUUAUUGUUCUUUUGCAGCUAUUUAUUAUGUUGUAUGUUGUCGUUUUUAAUAUUAUUUCGAUAUUGUAGAACUUUUGUUUUAUUAUUAAAUUAUUUUAGUUCUAACUUGUUUCAAUUUUAAUAUAAUCACUUUUUAUUAUAUUUUCAA